RNAcentral lists this ribosomal RNA (497 nucleotides) under uncultured bacterium. RNAcentral describes it as "partial 16S ribosomal RNA". It matches the Rfam family "Bacterial small subunit ribosomal RNA", at positions 28 to 507 of the family's 1533-position model. The record is from RNAcentral.
GAUGAACGCUGGCGGCGUGCCUAAUACAUGCAAGUCGAGCGAACAGACGAGGAGCUUGCUCCUCUGACGUUAGCGGCGGACGGGUGAGUAAAACGUGGAUAACCUACCUAUAAGACUGGGAUAACUUCGGGAAACCGGAGCUAAUACCGGAUAACAUGUUGAACCGCAUGGUUUAACAGUGAAAGACGGUCUUGCUGUCACUUAUAGAUGGAUCCGCGCCGCAUUAGCUAGUUGGUAAGGUAACGGCUUACCAAGGCAACGAUGCGUAGCCGACCUGAAAGGGUGAUCGGCCACAUUGGAACUGAGACACGGUCCAGACUCCUACGGGAGGCAGCAGUAGGGAAUCUUCCGCAAUGGGCGAAAGCCUGACGGAGCAACGCCGCGUGAGUGAAGAAGGUCUUCGGAUCGUAAAACUCUGUUAUUAGGGAAGAACAAAUGUGUAAGUAACUAUGCUCGUCUUGACGGUACCUAAUCAGAAAGCCACGGCUAACUACGUG